GACACGAUGGCCGAGCGGUCUAAGGCGGUAGAUUUAAGUUAAUCUAAGUUAAAUCUCUACUGGGGAAACCCGCGUGAGUUCGAACCUCACUCGUGUCA
Molecule: non-coding RNA, 98 nt
Organism: Trematosphaeria pertusa
Lineage: Eukaryota; Fungi; Ascomycota; Dothideomycetes; Pleosporales; Trematosphaeriaceae
Source: the annotation of a RefSeq genome assembly